RNAcentral lists this ribosomal RNA (252 nucleotides) under Negativibacillus massiliensis. RNAcentral's name for it is "partial 16S ribosomal RNA". It matches the Rfam family "Bacterial small subunit ribosomal RNA", at positions 524 to 776 of the family's 1533-position model. Lineage: Bacteria; Bacillati; Bacillota. RNAcentral also lists the same sequence under 1 other name. The record is from RNAcentral.
UACGUAGGUGGCAAGCGUUGUCCGGAAUUACUGGGUGUAAAGGGAGCGUAGGCGGGAAGAUAAGUUGGACGUCUAAUCUAUCGGCUCAACCGAUAGUCGCGUUCAAAACUGUUUUUCUUGAGUGAAGUAGAGGUAAGCGGAAUUCCUAGUGUAGCGGUGAAAUGCGUAAAUAUUAGGAGGAACACCAGUGGCGAAGGCGGCUUACUGGGCUUUAACUGACGCUGAGGCUCGAAAGCGUGGGUAGCAAACAGG